This 616-nucleotide ribosomal RNA is filed under the name Ptilotus roei. RNAcentral's name for it is "eukaryotic LSU rRNA". The stretch from base 230 to 384 matches the Rfam family "5.8S ribosomal RNA". The record is from RNAcentral. Lineage: Eukaryota; Viridiplantae; Streptophyta; Magnoliopsida; Caryophyllales; Amaranthaceae.
UCGAAACCUGCCCAGCAGAACGACCAGGGAACUUGUUUACCCAUUGCAUGGGGAGGGGUUGCUGGUUCGCCAGUCCCUCCCCAAUGUUGGGGGGCAAUCCAUUCUGGGGAGCCCCCUAGCACAAUAACGAACCCCGGCACGUAGGUGCCAAGGAACAUAAACAAUAGCGUGUCUAUCCUUGCUCGGACCUCCGGUGCAACGAUAUGUCACCCAUUCUAAGUCCUAAAACGACUCUCGGCAACGGAUAUCUCGGCUCUCGCAUCGAUGAAGAACGUAGCGAAAUGCGAUACUUGGUGUGAAUUGCAGAAUCCCGUGAACCAUCGAGUUUUUGAACGCAAGUUGCGCCCGAAGCCUUCCGGCCAGGGCACGCCUGCCUGGGCGUCACGCAUAGCGUCUCCCCUACCCCACCAAGUGUGGGAGGGAGAGGAUGAUGGCCUCCCAUGCCUCACCGGGUAUGGCUGGUCUAAAUAAGGAGCCCUUGGACACGAAAUGUCGCGGCGUUAGGUGGUACAAAAGGCAUCUGCCUCGAAAGCAUUGCGCCGGGCAUCCCGUGGCCUAUGUGGCCUCGUAGGACCCUCAGAAACCUUUGCGACCCCAGGUCAGGUGGGGUUACCCG